AUGGGCAACCAGGUGAUCUGCUGUGUGGCCCUUUGUCUCCUCGGAGCAGGCACUGUGGAUGGCGGGGUCACUCAGACCCCAAAAUACCUGUUCAAAAUGGAAGGACGAGAUGUAACCCUGAAAUGUGAACAGGAUUUUGAUUACGACGUCAUGUACUGGUACCGACAGGACCCAGGACAAGGGCUGAGACUGAUCUACUACUCUCAAACUAGUCUGUGUCUGGACUUUUACAAAUACCUAGUCCUUGCCAUGGGUAGCUGGACCUUCUGCUACGUGGCCCUUUGUCUUCUGGGAGCAGGACCCAUGGAUGCUGAAAUCUACCAGAUGAGAUUCCUGCUCGCUGAGGCUGGACGGGAUGUGACCCUGGAGUGUAAACAGGAUCUGAGCUACAACGCCAUGUACUGGUACCGGCAGGAUGCAGGGCAGGGUCUGAGGCUGAUUUACUACUCUACGGUUGAAAAGGAUGUUCAGAGAGGAGACAUAUCUGAAGGCUACAGUGUCUCUCGAGAGGAGAAGGGGCUGUUUCCUCUCACUGUGAAGGCGGCUCACACCAACCAAACAGCCUUGUACCUCUGUGCUGGUAGCGUCACAGUGGAGCACGGCCACACCACACCUGUGCACAAACCCGCUCCAGCCCUGCAGCUCCCAACAUAG
Non-coding RNA from Balaenoptera musculus (blue whale), 654 nucleotides. NCBI's taxonomy places the organism in Eukaryota, Metazoa, Chordata, Mammalia, Artiodactyla, Balaenopteridae. The record is from the annotation of a RefSeq genome assembly.